This 253-nucleotide ribosomal RNA is filed under the name uncultured bacterium. RNAcentral's name for it is "partial 16S ribosomal RNA". It matches the Rfam family "Bacterial small subunit ribosomal RNA", at positions 524 to 776 of the family's 1533-position model. The record is from RNAcentral.
UACGGGGGGGGCAAGCGUUGUUCGGAAUUACUGGGCGUAAAGGGCUCGUAGGCGGCCAACUAAGUCGGACGUGAAAUCCCCAGGCUCAACCUGGGAACUGCGUCCGAUACUGGAUGGCUUGAAUCCGGGAGAGGGAUGCAGAAUUCCAGGUGUAGCGGUGAAAUGCGUAGAUAUCUGGAGGAAUACCGGUGGCGAAAGCGGCUCUCUGGGACGGUACUGACGCUGAGACGCGAAAGCGUGGGGAGCGAACAGG